AUCUCGAGAUAUCUUCCCACUCCAUAAGCCAAUACUUAGUGACUUAGAAACUACCACUUCCAUUCUUCAGUUUCCUUGAUAUUGAGCAUGGAAGAUGGGUGUGUUACUACAUGUGUGCCUGGACAUGGGAGUACCUCAGAACUUCAAAGAGGGGUGAGAAGAAGAUAGAAAAAGGGUAAUAAGGCAGUAAUGAGCUAUAAUCACCCUAAAGUUGAUAAUUGUUCGGUUCCUGACUACAGGAACCCUACAAGUACAGAAUAAAACAUAGUUCCAGCUUUGUAAAAUGUGGAGACUGGGGAGCAGUGACUAGAAAAGAUUGUGCUACAUCGGGACUUCCCUGGUGGCGCAGGGGACACGGGUUGGAGCCCUGCUCUGGGAAGACCCCACGUGCUGCGGAGCAGCAAAGCCUGUGCGCCACAACUACUGAGCCCACGUGCCACAACCACUGAAGCCCAAGCACCUAGAGCCCAUGCCCCGCAACGAGAGAAGCCACCGCAAUGAGAAGCCCACGCACCUCAAGGAAGAGUAGCCCCAGCUCACCGCAACUAGAGAAAGCCCACGCGCAGCAACAAAGACCCAAUGCAGCCAAAAAUAAAUAAAUAAAUUUAUAAAAAAUAAAAAAAGA
Molecule: long non-coding RNA, 625 nt
Organism: Orcinus orca (killer whale)
Lineage: Eukaryota; Metazoa; Chordata; Mammalia; Artiodactyla; Delphinidae
Exons: 2
Source: RefSeq, a predicted model, not a curated record